RNAcentral lists this ribosomal RNA (583 nucleotides) under uncultured Microbacteriaceae bacterium. RNAcentral's name for it is "bacterial SSU rRNA". It matches the Rfam family "Bacterial small subunit ribosomal RNA", at positions 49 to 643 of the family's 1533-position model. The record is from RNAcentral. Lineage: Bacteria; Bacillati; Actinomycetota; Actinomycetes; Micrococcales; Microbacteriaceae.
UAACACAUGCAAGUCGAACGAUGAAGCUGGAGCUUGCUCCGGUGGAUUAGUGGCGAACGGGUGAGUAACACGUGAGAAAUCUGCCCCUGACUCUGGGAUAACUGCGGGAAACUGUAGCUAAUACCGGAUACUUUCCCUGGUGGGCAUCCACUGGGGAAGAAAGAAUUUCGGUCAGGGAGGAUCUCGCGGCCUAUCAUCUAGUUGGUGAGGUAACGGCUCACCAAGGCGACGACGGGUAACCGGCCUGAGAGGGUGACCGGUCACACUGGGACUGAGACACGGCCCAGACUCCUACGGGAGGCAGCAGUGGGGAAUAUUGCACAAUGGGCGCAAGCCUGAUGCAGCAACGCCGCGUGAGGGAUGAAGGCCUUCGGGUUGUAAACCUCUUUUAGCAGGGAAGAAGCGAAAGUGACGGUACCUGCAGAAAAAGCACCGGCUAACUACGUGCCAGCAGCCGCGGUAAUACGUAGGGUGCAAGCGUUGUCCGGAAUUAUUGGGCGUAAAGAGCUCGUAGGCGGUUUGUCACGUCUGCUGUGAAAAUCCAAGGCUCAACCUUGGACUUGCAGUGGGUACGGGCAGGCUA